RNAcentral lists this long non-coding RNA (496 nucleotides) under Rattus norvegicus (Norway rat). RNAcentral's name for it is "long non-coding RNA NONRATT020050". The record is from RNAcentral. Lineage: Eukaryota; Metazoa; Chordata; Mammalia; Rodentia; Muridae.
CUGAGGCUGAGGGUUUGGUCAGGUGAGUUGCUCUGUGAUAACUGGCACCUAUCCCCCCCAACUCCCCUUUUGGUCCCGCCCAGAUGCCAUGGUUCAAGGGCUGGAAGGUAGAGCGUAAGGAAGGAAAUGCAAGCGGCGUGUCCCUGCUGGAAGCCCUGGACACAAUCCUGCCCCCCACCCGCCCCACCGACAAGCCCCUUCGUCUACCGCUGCAGGAUGUAUACAAGAUUGGUGGUGAGUGAGAAUUCAGUGCCGGAGCUCACUGCUUCCUGCAGGUGCUUGAGCGCUGUGCCCCAAACCUUGACCAGGACAUCAACAAGGAAUCCCCAAGAUGGCUGCCUCUGCCUUUCUCCUUACACCAUAUACUCCUACACCCCAUCCGUUUACUCACCCAUCCUGAUUCUUGUGUUAUCUAUCCACCCCAUCUAUCUGUCUACUCAGACACCCCUCACACUCACCUCCACAGUGACCCCUCCACCCAUCUCCAGUGACCCCU